This 451-nucleotide ribosomal RNA is filed under the name uncultured bacterium. Its description in RNAcentral is "partial 16S ribosomal RNA". It matches the Rfam family "Bacterial small subunit ribosomal RNA", at positions 354 to 796 of the family's 1533-position model. The record is from RNAcentral.
GUGGGGAAUAUUGGACAAUGGGGGGAACCCUGAUCCAGCCAUGCCGCGUGUGUGAAGAAGGCCUUUUGGUUGUAAAGCACUUUAAGCGAGGAGGAGGCUACCGAGAUUAAUACUCUUGGAUAGUGGACGUUACUGGCAGAAUAAGCACCGGCUAACUCUGUGCCAGCAGCCGCGGUAAUACAGAGGGUGUAAGCGUUAAUCGGAUUUACUGGGCGUAAAGCGCGCGUAGAUGGCCAAUUAAGUCGAAUGUGAAAUCCCCGAGCUUAACUUGUGAAUUGCAUGAGAUACUGGUUGGCUAGAGUAUGGGAGUGGAUGGGAGAAUUCCAGGUGUAGCGGUAAAAUGCGUAGAGAUCUGGAGGAAUACCGAUGGCGAAGGCAGCCAUCUGGCCUAAUACUGACACUGAGGUGCGAAAGCAUGGGGAGCAAACAGGAUUAGAUACCCGAGUAGUCC